GCUCAUUAUAACACGCAAUAGCAGAAAACCGUACACGGGCCAUCGGCCACGUUGAGUUAUGAUUGAUGGUGACACAAUAAUUUUGUGGGCUGCCGUUUAUCACAACCAAUGACAGUGCAAAGAGUCAGUCAAUCACGCCGGUGAAUUCGAGUUGACCAUGAGCGCAGGGAUGAAACGGUAUAUGGUUUUUUUUGCACAAUAUUCUUUUUAGCCUCGCUCUGAAAACAGAGUGCCGACAGUUUGGACAGCUGACAAAUGACGGUCGGGCUCGUGAAGGCGUGAAAUUAAAUCGGACAGCAGAGAAAACACGGCCUUAAACAUGAAUCUGUCGGUGACCACACUGCUGGCUUAUCGACCGAUAAUAUUGUUAAAUACUUAUUACAUAAAUCACACUUCACGACAUAUGGCUUAUGUAUUAGAAAGAGCACGAUUUCUGUCCUCUUAGUUAGUCUCAAAUUACGAUGUUAGUCUUCAAGUCAUUGUACGCUCGAGUUUCUGCUAGAGUUAAUAAAGAGAAUUUUGUAUGAUGUAAAAUUAUUAAA
Molecule: long non-coding RNA, 542 nt
Organism: Wyeomyia smithii (pitcher-plant mosquito)
Lineage: Eukaryota; Metazoa; Arthropoda; Insecta; Diptera; Culicidae
Exons: 2
Source: RefSeq, a predicted model, not a curated record